GUCCACGCCGUAAACGAUGGAUACUAGCUGUUGGGAGCAAUCUCAGUGGCUAAGCGAAAGUGAUAAGUAUCCCACCUGGGGAGUACGUUCGCAAGAAUGAAACUCAAAGGAAUUGACGGGGGCCCGCACAAGCGGUGGAGCAUGUGGUUUAAUUCGAUGAUACGCGAGGAACCUUACCAAGGCUUAAAUGUAGAUUGACAGAUUUGGAAACAGAUUUUUCUUCGGACAAUUUACAAGGUGCUGCAUGGUUGUCGU
Molecule: ribosomal RNA, 255 nt
Filed under: uncultured bacterium
Lineage: Bacteria
Description: partial 16S ribosomal RNA
Rfam family: Bacterial small subunit ribosomal RNA
Source: RNAcentral